Long non-coding RNA from Etheostoma cragini (Arkansas darter), 1950 nucleotides. RefSeq lists it as uncharacterized. The record is from RefSeq and is a predicted model, not a curated record. The transcript is spliced from 2 exons. NCBI's taxonomy places the organism in Eukaryota, Metazoa, Chordata, Actinopteri, Perciformes, Percidae.
GGGGGGGAGUCGCAGGUUAACGAGCUCCAUCCUGUCAUUGGUUGUCCACACUGUCCGUCCUUAAUGAGGUGAUGAGUCCGUGCAACUGAGCCCGCAGUUUUUCCUUUUUUUUCUUUUUUUAAUCUCAGGAGCAGCUGAAAAACCAGCAACCACACUGCCCCCCCCACCCCACCCCCCCCCCGCUUCCAACGGUAUUCAUCAUCUUUAGUGUUAGGUUUUUGCAUCGUUGGUGUUCCCUGUCCUGCAGAAGGCAGCGUUCCCCUAAUCUCGCCCGCUCACCAUGGACUCCAACAAAACCCCCUCCGCUCCAACAUGCGGACCCUGCAGGACUACAGCUCCCAGCAUGCACCCGACCAACCGCGGAGUUCUGGGACACGAGCACAACAUUUCGUAACAUUGAAGUUGACAUUUAAUUGGUCGGUUGCAGUAUUUUUUAACACUAAAAACAUCGCGAUCAUCGAAGACGUCGCACCAUCAAACUCAAAAAUGGGACGGGAGAUUUAGGAAUUAGGGGACGGACGUGUUUCAUCAUCAACGGAUUCCUGAACGCUGCUGGGCUGCGUCACCGUGGGAGUGUUGGCCGGGUCCGCAGAACCGAAGGGAACCAACGCUUUCCUGUGGGAAGACGACGGCCGUGCUGCCGUCGGGGGGGGUCGGGUAGGGGGGUCGGGGGGCAGGCUGGACCCUGUGGUUGUAGAGCUGUAGUCUGUAUUUGCUCUGAGGCCUCGGAGCUGCCGGACCCGCCUGAACCAGGGAAGACUUCCUUUUUCUCACUGGGGAGAACGGGGAAGCCGUCGUCCCAUUGGCUGCAGCCGUCGUCCCAUUGGCUGCAGCCGUCGUCCCAUUGGCUGCAGCCGUCGUCCCAUUGGCUGAAGCCGUCACAUCUGGAGCCGUUCCACAGUCAAACUGCCAGAACCACCAGGAACUUCUCUCCACUUUCACCUUCUGAUGCUGAAUUUGGGGAAAGGACAGGACCAUGUCUUCAGGGCCGAGCCUACCGGUCCCCGGGGACGGUUUCCACCACGGUAAAGGUCUCUUCUGGACAACGGAUCUAGAAAGAAACAAAACGUUGUUUGGCACACCAACAUUACCAGAUCUGGGGUUCAGACUCUUUAACCCUGCUGUUGUCCUCGGUCAGACCUGAACCUUUAAUCAGUCUCCGUCUGAAAUCUAAACUUCUUUUUAACCAAAAUCCAACAAACGCGGAUUCCUUCCAACGCUCUUUCAUUCCUAUUAGUCAGAAUAAUUCAUAAUUUCUGCUUUUUUUUAACUCUAAUAUUCAGAGUUAUUCUCUAUAAAUGAGGGUUAUUGAUCAUGAAUUCUAAAGGUAUAAAACUGGUCGUGGAAACUAAAAAUUAAAUCUGAAAAAGGGACAAACAUGUCAGAUUUCGUCUGUUUUUGACCCGGAGGACAACGCCAGGGUUAAAUCUAAAACCCGAUGCCCUCCUCUGGGGCCGAGACCAGCGUCUGGUUUCUGGGUUUCUGGGUUUUCUUUGUUGUAUUUGAGGCGAUGAACUGAUGUACUGUACAUACUACUACUGCUUACUGUCGGUUCUACUCGUCAUUACACAGUAAAUCUCGUGGAAAUGUAGUUUUUUUUAAAGUUGUGUAUGUGAAGCAUCGUUACCUGAGCCCGGCGGUCCCCCGGAGAACUGGUCUGUGGACCCAGGAGAAACGACCGGGUCCAGCCGGCGGGAACAUUUCUGGGUCUGACCUUUGGAAGAUGUCCGGGUCCGACCGUCGGAGGUCCGGGCCCGGCGCUCCACUCUUCUUCUCUUGCUUCGUGUGUCCAGUCAGGACUUGUUCGUGUGCAUUGUGUCACGUCAGAUUCGAGACGCUCGUCGUCGGGUCGUCGUCACGUAGUUUUAACGUGUGUGUUAAUAAAAUGUUGCAGUCACAGUUGUCAUGGUUACACUCUCUCUGUUCGGAAUAUUAAAAACACUGAUACGA